RNAcentral lists this ribosomal RNA (292 nucleotides) under uncultured bacterium. Its description in RNAcentral is "partial 16S ribosomal RNA". It matches the Rfam family "Bacterial small subunit ribosomal RNA", at positions 505 to 796 of the family's 1533-position model. The record is from RNAcentral.
GUGUCAGCCGCCGCGGUAAAACGUAGGAGGCAAGCGUUAUCCGGAUUUACUGGGCGUAAAGCGCGUGCAGGUGGUGCACUAAGUCGUGCGUGAAAGCGCUCUGCUUAACAGGGCGAGGGCGGGCGAGACUGGUGGACUAGAGCUAGAUAGAGGCAAGUGGAAUUCCGGGUGUAGUGGUGAAAUGCGUAGAGAUCCGGAGGAAUACCAGUGGCGAAGGCGGCUUGCUGGGUCUAAGCUGACACUCAGACGCGAAAGCAUGGGGAGCGAACGGGAUUAGAAACCCUCGUAGUCC